GACGAACCGAGCGAACGUUAUUCGGAAUCACUGGGCUUAAAGGGCGCGUAGGCGGGCGAUCAAGUCAGGGGUGAAAGCCCCCAGCUCAACUGGGGAAGUGCCUCUGAUACUGGUCGUCUCGAGGGAGGUAGGGGCGUGCGGAACUUCCGGUGGAGCGGUGAAAUGCGUAGAUAUCGGAAGGAACAUCAGUGGCGAAAGCGACUUCCUGGACCAGUACCGACGUUCAGGCACGAAAGCGUGGGGAGCAAACAGG
This 253-nucleotide ribosomal RNA is filed under the name uncultured bacterium. RNAcentral describes it as "partial 16S ribosomal RNA". It matches the Rfam family "Bacterial small subunit ribosomal RNA", at positions 524 to 776 of the family's 1533-position model. The record is from RNAcentral.